CAUCAGAGAAGACAACAGGGAUUGCCCUAGUAACGGCGAGUGAAGCGGCAACAGCUCAAAUUUGAAAUCUGGCUCUCGGGCCCGAGUUGUAAUUUGUAGAGGAUACUUUUGAUGCGGUGCCUUCCGAGUUCCCUGGAACGGGACGCCAUAGAGGGUGAGAGCCCCGUCUGGUUGGAUGCCAAAUCUCUGUAAAGUUCCUUCGACGAGUCGAGUAGUUUGGGAAUGCUGCUCUAAAUGGGAGGUAUAUGUCUUCUAAAGCUAAAUACCGGCCAGAGACCGAUAGCGCACAAGUAGAGUGAUCGAAAGAUGAAAAGCACUUUGAAAAGAGAGUUAAAAAGUACGUGAAAUUGUUGAAAGGGAAGCGUUUAUGACCAGACUUGGGCUUGGUUAAUCAUCUGGGGUUCUCCCCAGUGCACUUUUCCAGUCCAGGCCAGCAUCAGUUUUCGCCGGGGGAUAAAGACUUCGGGAAUGUGGCUCUCUUCGGGGAGUGUUAUAGCCCGUUGUGUAAUACCCUGGCGGGGACUGAGGUUCGCGCAUCUGCAAGGAUGCUGGCGUAAUGGUCAUCAACGACCCGUCUUGAAACACGGACCAAGGAGUCGUCUUCGUAUGCGAGUGUUCGGGUGUCAAACCCCUACGCGUAAUGAAAGUGAACGCAGGUGAGAGCUUCGGCGCAUCAUCGACCGAUCCUGAUGUUCUCGGAUGGAUUUGAGUAAGAGCAUACGGGGCCGGACCCGAAAGAAGGUGAACUAUGCCUGUAUAGGGUGAAGCCAGAGGAAACUCUGGUGGAGGCUCGCAGCGGUUCUGACGUGCAAAUCGAUCGUCAAAUAUGGGCAUGGGGGCGAAAGACUAAUCGAACCUUCUAGUAGCUGGUUUCCGCC
Molecule: non-coding RNA, 878 nt
Filed under: Fusarium citri
Lineage: Eukaryota; Fungi; Ascomycota; Sordariomycetes; Hypocreales; Nectriaceae
Description: sequence contains 28S rRNA gene
Rfam family: Eukaryotic large subunit ribosomal RNA
Source: RNAcentral